GGCGCCAUCGUCUAGUGGCCUAGGACCCGACGUUUUCAGCGUCGUGAUCAGGGGUUCGAAUCCCCUUGGCGUCA
RNAcentral lists this transfer RNA (74 nucleotides) under Candidatus Levyibacteriota bacterium. RNAcentral describes it as "tRNA-Glu". It matches the Rfam family "tRNA". From Rfam's summary of the family: Transfer RNA (tRNA) molecules are approximately 80 nucleotides in length. Their secondary structure includes four short double-helical elements and three loops (D, anti-codon, and T loops). Further hydrogen bonds mediate the characteristic L-shaped molecular structure. tRNAs have two regions of fundamental functional importance: the anti-codon, which is responsible for specific mRNA codon recognition, and the 3' end, to which the tRNAs corresponding amino acid is attached (by aminoacyl-tRNA synthetases). tRNAs cope with the degeneracy of the genetic code in two manners: having more than one tRNA (with a specific anti-codon) for a particular amino acid; and 'wobble' base-pairing, i.e. permitting non-standard base-pairing at the 3rd anti-codon position. Lineage: Bacteria; Candidatus Levyibacteriota. The record is from RNAcentral.